UGUCCCCAAGUGGGCUUGGCAGCCGGCCUACGCUCCUACCCCGAUAGUGACUGUUUUGCCUCUGCAAAGCAGCGGGGCCUUCUGGGGUCUGACCUGAAUCGCUCCCCCUGCUCCGGGCUCUGGGUGCUCCGGGACAGAGCCUGGUGCCCCUGGGCAGGUGAUGCCCGGUCCUCACCAGCAGCUGGGAAAGGUCUCUGGACCCCAGAGCCCAGCUAUGGAUGCAGCGCUGGGGCUAGGUUAGCCCAUCUUCUCCCUAGAGAUGUGGCACUGCCCUCCCAGACUCUGGGGGCCUGCCUGUCUGGGCUUGGUCAAUCAGGGGUCCUGGGAGAUGAGACUGGGUCUAGGGACUUGCAUGGUGGGAAGGACAGCAGUUGUAAGGGAUCUGGGGUGUUCCUUGGGUCUUUUCGAGGCUCUUCUGCGGCAGAAAUGGCACUUGAACCCACGUCGCCCUUAUCAACACCCAGAAUAUCUGAAAUUGGGUCUGUUCUGGGAAAUCUCAUCCUGAAGCUCAGCAUCACCCCUGGACCCCAUGCCUCUCUUCCCAUUUAGAGGACUGCAACAGUCCCUUCCUCUCCCUGUGAGGAGCCCCCACUGUGGGGGGAGGGUCUCUCAUCAUCUUUCCCAACUCCAGCUCCAGGUUACCCCUCAACAGCAGCAGCAGGAGGAAAGAGACUGUGGUUGCAGCUAGAGGGAUGGAAGUUAGAGCUCAGGAAGGACUUUCCUAGAGCACAGAGGUCUGUUUCUCCCACAGGUGCCUAUGUGGUGGAGGGACAGGCCCACUACUUUUUAAAGUGGAGAGACAUGGAAUGCUUUCUAAGGGGUGAGGGGGAAGAUGAUUCUAGGAGGCCAUAAGCAAAGUUUAGUUGGGGUGAGUGUGUGUGUGUGUGUGUGUGUGUGUGUGAAGCGUGCGUGUGUGCAAGCUCAUAGGGGAGUGGAGGAGGCAGAGGAAAGAGUUUGGUUCAGAGAGGACAGGUGGCCACUCUGCGGGUCACCGGGCACCCUUCCUGCCCCCAUCCGGAUUCCCAGGACAUGACCGGGAGGAUGGACUUUCCCCACCAUGGCCUUUAGUGACUAAGACACUUUUCUGAGCAAACAGCUGUCUCAGGCUCUCUCAGCCAGCCCCGCUCCUGGAGGAGGGGGGAGUGCUGUGGUUUUCCACCCUCCUCCCUCACUCUCUCCCACCUGUUCCCUUCACCCUACCCUCAGCAGCUUCCUUCCCACCCCCCAGCUCCCACCUCUCUCCCUGGUAACACUGCCAAAUCGUCCCCACUCUGCCCAGACUCACUCACUGUCCCACCUGGGCAAGUCCCUUCCCCGCUCUGGGCUUCAGUUUCCCAUCUGUACAACUAGAAGGGAGCAGGGCUCCAAGAUCUCCUGUACUUCAUCACUGUCACCGUCAUCCAUCAAUGGAGCGAGUAUUGAUUGAGAGCACGGGUGGGGAGGGAGAGAGCUCCCAUUUGCCGAGCACCAACGAUGUGCCAGGCCCUGCCCCUUCUGGGACUGAGAGCAGCCCUUUGCACAUUGAAAAAGCUGAAACUCAGAGAGGUACAGGGACUUACCUAAGGAUACACAGCUAGUGGGUGACCCCAGAACUGUCUGUGACUUGUCCUCUCCCUGGGCUGGCACCUACCUACUGUACACUGGGACCUAUGAUCAGGUGGGGAGCUGAGGGGAACAACAGAUGGCCCAAUCCUUGUUAAAGGACUCUCUCCUGUAGGGGUAGAGACUCCAGGAUCUGAAAGAGUUGAGGUCUGGAAGUGGCUCAGACUAGGGGCUGGUCAUUGAUUCCCAGUGUGACCACAGGUCAACCAAGGGUGCAGGUUCCUUUCUCGGAGCAGCAAGGGGGUGGUUUAAGUCAGUGGUUUUCAGACUUUAUUAGCAAUGGAAUCCUUUUCCCAGACAGAAUCGUAAGGUAACACCCCAACGUGUAAAAGUCAUUCAAGCAGAGGGGUUCUGGUGGAAUGGAGGUGAGGGGGUCAGGUUCCACCCAGCAGACCUCCUCCUCCUUCCUCUCCACACCCCCAGAAGCGCCCUGGGUUUUCUUACAGCUGUAAGGGCUGGUAGCAGUGAGAGGAGGUAGAAAUCUCCACAGGCAAUGGCCGAGGGGGCCUCCUUGGGGAUGGGGUGGGGAGGACUUUGAGAGGUGCAGAGAAGUGCAACCAAUAAUGCUUGCAGCUACCAUCAGUGCGGCCCAUGCUAAAUGCUGAGCCUCUGGGCAGGAUGCUUUCCCUGCCUUGUCUAUCGGCAUCCCAGCAGCCCUGUGAGGUAAGACUGUUCCCAUCUCAUUAUACAGACAAGAAGACUAAGGGUCUGUGGAGAGACUUGCCGAGUGUAGCUGUUCAGCCCUGUGCUGUGCUGCAUGUGUGUGUGUGCAGGUGGGGCGUCGGGGUGGGGAGGGUGUUAUAGAGCAUGGGGGAGGAAGAGCAAGCUUGGCAAGGGGGACACAGGAGGCCUGGAAUGCUAGGCUGAAGGGUCCAGUUUGACCUGAGAGGAAGCAGGAAGCCUGGCGAGUCCUGAGCCUGGGCAUGCUGAAGAGGCUGGGGCUCUGCAGGAGAGAGCUGAGGAGGGGAGGAGUGGGAGGUUGGCAGUGCAGGGCCAAAAAACACUGAACUACAAGUCAUGGCUGGGCUUCCUGGCUCUACCUCUGGAGUAGCUGGUGACCUUGGGCAAGUCACUCCACCUCGCCCCACCUUCCCCAGCUCUUGCCAGGACUGAGUGCAAUAAUGCGUGACAAAGUCAUGAUCAUACAGACAUGAACCAUGGAUUCACUGUUCUUCAGGUGUGGGUUCGGGUGGAAAGGCGAGAUGCUGUGAGAAUUCUCUAGUCCUACCAGCUCUUCUCAAUCUUGGAGGGCUUCCUAGGAGGAGGGGAUGGGAGUGGAGAGUGCUCAUGGGGUAACAGCAUCACAUCCAUUAUUCACCUCUAGGGAUCCACGUCCACUGAGAGCAGGAGGAAGUCUGAGAGAAAGACCAAACUUGCUUCCUUUCACAAGGUGACCCAGAGAGGACAAGAGACGUAGGCCACACAGCAGGAUUCUUCCUCCUUGACCCCAACUCCUAGGAGACCAUGCAGAAGACAACACUAUUGUGGUCCUUCUGGGAGGCUCCACGAUCUUUGAGAGCCACUGGGACAGUGGAGUCGGUUGGAAAAUGAGGAGGAAGGACUUUUCGGAGUUGCCAAGAGUGCAAUGGAGGAAAGCUACCCUGCUCCCCACCCCCUGGUGGGAGAAACUUGGAUGUAGGCUCAGGGAGGGAGAGGAUGGUCAUUGUGAAGAUCAUUGGGAGGACGGAUGCUGCGAGUGCUAGGAAAAGUGUCUACAGAAUGCUCCGGAUGUAAGGGGAUCGUGCUGGGUAUUAGAUAGGGGCUCUCUUGGGCUGCACCAAAGUGUUUGUUUACACCCUGAUGGGCCUUGCUGGCGGGGAAAUUUAAAGGGAACGUGCUCAGCAAGGAAGCUGCUUGCCAAUCACAACUGAUCGAAACAUCUCCAAAAUAAGAAUGGACGUCUAUGGGAAAAUGAGGACCCAUUGACUAGCCUGAUACUCCACUACAUUUGGGUUUUCAAGGAUGAGUCGAAGAGCAGUAAAGUGGGACAGUGCUGUGGCCUUGAUAAUGGGGGGUUAGCUAGGAAAUGAAAUACCUGAGCUUCAAACUAUUCUCUGAGGCCAGCAGCCCUUGCGUGCACUCGCACUUGCUCUCUCUCCACGUGGGGCUGGGCAUGCGGCUAAUCAGUGAAUAGAUACUUGGCUGUCUCACUGAGAUGUAUUUGGGUCCAGGCAGUGGGAAAGGCCAGAUGAUCCCCUGCAGAGAAAAGUCCAGAGCUAGAAUAAAGAUAACGGGAUACAGGACAAGGGGCAUUCAACUUGGGAGUCAGAAGCCUGUAGGGCUGCCCCAAACUCAGUCACAGGGGCAGACCUACUGACUUCUCAUGGUGACAGUCCCACCUGCCUCACCCACCCUGAUGAUACUGGAGGGGUACCAUGUAGUCAAAACCUUAAAACCAGGAAAACCUUUGCUUUUGCAAAAGAAUGUUAUUUUUCUUCCUUUUAUAGUGUGAAUCUCUUACCUGGUCCGGUCUCUUUGUUUUGGCGGCCAGGAAGCCCAGGAUCAAAGGUGAAACCUAAUUCUAACAACUAUGUAGGUUUUUAUGGCCAGAGUAUUUGUGUUCUUGUUUUCUAAGAUCCUGAUUUCCUACUCAAUUAUAUUCUUCCUUCCUAGACAAGUAAUUCUAAUUUGUCAUAUUUUAUUUCAUUGUGUACUGUUUUCAAGGUAAGCCAUCUUAAUUGUUCUGGUGGAAUAAGGCAACGUACAUUUAGGUAAAUGGUUGAAAAUGGAAUAGAUGACAAAGAUAUCCAAGUACUUGCCAUGGUUGACAGUGGUGGAUAUUUGGGGAAUUAUAAGGGCAUCAGGGUCAGAGUUGAAACCAUCUAAUAUUAAAGCCUCUUCCCCAUCAACGCCCCCUCUCCCCCCAGUGCCUUAAAACAGUCCCAAAAAGAAGGGAAUUGCCCAAGGUUUUAUGGCAUAUUACUGUCAGAGAAGAAAUUAACACCUACUUUUCUUGGCACCUAGUUCUCUGCUCUUCCUAUGACAAUAGGCCUCGUUCUAGCUGAAAGGAUGGCAUUCUGAAGGUAAGAAAGAUGGCUCACCACUGGCCUCUACAGCCAAUGAGGAAGUGAAAUGCUCUCUUGAGUCUUCCUGCUUCAAUUAAUAGGAAGCAGGCCCUGGCUGUAGAACCCUUCUGAUAUGCUGGCUGACAAGGGGCUUGGGCUGCCCUCCAUGGCAGAUGCCCCUGGCCAUGGCCACAGCAGGCAUCUCAGAGUGCCAGCCUACGCCAAGGCAGGAGUGGAGGGAUUUGCUUGGGUCCUUGUUUGAAAGACAGUGACAGCUUUUCCCAUGAGAUGCUCUCUGGACUCUCAACCAAGGAGCCACAGCUCAGUCUGGCCCACAUGUGGUCGUCCAGGAAGUUAAGGCAAGCAGGCACCUCGGAGCAGCAACUAGAUUCUGAUGAAGUUCAUUUUAUUUUUAAAAUAAAGCUGGAGACCUCAGUUUGAAUCAGAUAUGCAGUGUAAAUUCCCUUAGCUUUGGACAUCCCCUCCUCCCUCCUUCAGAGACACCCAACCUGAGGGCAAACAAACCUUUCCAAGCCUUUCCCAAGGAAAGUGGCCCCAUAAAUGCCCCCUGACACAGAAACCCAGACUCUAAAUUAUCUAAAAUGAGAUUUAUUGCAUUUCAUGCAGUUUGAAGUCCAUGCAGCAAUGGAGACUAGCACAAUUUUUAAUGCAUUUUAAA
This is a long non-coding RNA of Equus caballus (horse), 5286 nucleotides long. RefSeq lists it as uncharacterized. The record is from RefSeq and is a predicted model, not a curated record. NCBI's taxonomy places the organism in Eukaryota, Metazoa, Chordata, Mammalia, Perissodactyla, Equidae.